UCCAUCUCCUUUCUCCCUCAACAUUAACGAUUUCCCAGAGAGUUGGGUAUGGAUGUAAGGUUCUUAUCUUCAACUUUGAAUGAAAUUUCGAUUUUCAUUAUUUCACACUAUUUUGAAAAAUGAAAAGAGGAAACUCAAGUUCCUCAAUCUUAUCAAUCACCCACAGACGACAACCUUAUAAAAUACACCCCCGGCGUACCACAUUCACAAUUCACAAACUCAAAAUCAGUCGAAGGAGAAAAGAAGAACGAAAAUCUAAACCUAGGGUUUUUCAGGUUCUUCCAAAUAUCUCACUUCUACUGUAAGAAAAAGAAAAAUUACCCAAAUAAUCUAGGGUUUUUGGAUAAUAAUUCUGGAAUUCGAAACCCUAGAGUUAUGGAUUUCGAUGAUAUUGAGUAUCUAGAGAAAGGAGUAGAAGAUCCAGAGAAUUCAAAAGCUGAAAAUCAAUCAUCAGGCGGAAGAAAAGAAGGCGAGAAGAGUUAUAGGAGUAGUAGAAGAAGAGCUGAAGAUGAUGAAAAUGGUGCUGUUGAUGAUGAUGAAGAAAAAGAUAGGAUCAGCAACUUACCAGAUUCCUUAAUUCAUCACAUCGUAUCUUCUAUUAAUAUGAAAUUUGCAGUCCAGACUUGUGUGUUAUCUAAAAGAUGGCGGUAUAUGUGGACUUUUCUGCCCGUCCUAAAUCUCUGUAAUGCCAAUCGCUCAAAUGAUGAAGGGCGCUUUAUAAAUUUGUGCACAAGGUGCCCAGUCUUCGUGACAACAACUCUGAUAUACAAAGGUUUUAUCUAUUCCAUGAUCUCUGUUAUGAAAUAUAUAGCUGCAUAGAUAGAUGGAUUGCUACUGCUGUCAGCCAUAAUGUUCAAGAGAUGUGUAUUUACCUCACCCCCGACGAUUUUAAGAUCCCUCUUUGUCUAUGCACUUGUAAAUCAUUGACAAAGCUUGAGCUUCUAUUGACUGGUUAUGGAGAUACUUAUUGUAAAGCCAAGAUUAUUCUACCUGAUCAUGAAAUGAGUUUACCUCUGAAAUCACUGCUUCUGAUACUUUGUGAUAUAUUCUUUGUUGAUGAAGAACUAACGAAUAGGUUCUUUUCGAGUUUUCUUUCUCUAGAAUAGUUGGUUAUGGUAUUAGAGGGUAAUCCAUUUCCUGAAAUGAAUCUCAAUAUUUCCUUGCCUAAACUUAAGCAUUUUGAGUUUGAUACUUGGGAUUAUGAAAGCAGCGGAGAGGUUAAACUGCAUGCUCCAAGUCUGUCAUCCUUCAUUUUCCAUAGUUGCUUGUCGACAAAUCUCACUUUAAUGAAUCUUUCAUCUCUAGCCACUGCUGAUAUUAAGAUACUCAUUAGUAGUCAAGUGAAAUUGGGCAUUCGAACUGAAGUGCCAGAAAUUUGUGCCCGACGUGCUGUGGGACUUUUGAGAGGGAUUCGUAACGUGGAAGUCUUAACCUUAGACCAUAAUUUCAUCAAGGCUUUAGGUGGAGCUCCUGAUAUACUGGACAAUUUAAUAUUCAAUUAAUAUUCAACCAACUGAACAAUUUAAUAUUCAACAUUUGAAGCUCCAGACCUACCUUUCGAGGGACUGCCUGCGUCCAAUAUUCUUCGUACUGAACAAUUCUCCCACUAUAGAAUCCAUUUCCCUGCAGAUAUCACAGGUAAAAUCUGAUCCGGAUAACAUAGGAGACUACUGGGAUGCAGGGUUGUCUUUGCCGUGCAGGAUAUGUCAUCUAAAGAUUGUCGAGAUUAAAGGUCUUCUUGGGCGUGUUACUGAACUACAAUUUUUGGAGCUUCUGUUGAAACAUGCCACGGUCUUGGAGAAAGUGGUACUCAUCAGUUAUUCAACUGAACAAGACUCAGAAAGGGAGAAACAGAUGACGAAAUUCAGUGAGAUGCUGUUAACAUUUCCUACAGCGUCUAAGGAAAUCCGUAUCUUGUUAAAAUUCUGAGUAGAAUUGGAUCUCAUAGAACCCGGAUGAGCCAAGAGAACUAUUUUUCGAUUUCCUUGAUUCCGAAAGUAUGAUACAAGCUCCUUAUGUUUGUGGUAGAUGCCGAAAUCUCUUUCUCAGUUGCAAUAAUAUUUAUCAAAAUCCAUAAUGUUGUUGCUGGUGUUUAUCGUCUUUUGCAUCAUCUGACUCCUAAAAAAACAUAUUGUCCUGUGUCUCUGAUACUGUAUGUGUAAGGUACAGUAAAUGUUUCUGGAGAGGGCUUCUUGAAACUCCUGUAGUAUUUUUUGAUGUACCCCAAGUCUAAUGAGCUUCUAGACUUAUAAACACCAGCAAGAGAACUGUUUUUCGAUUUCUUUGAUUCUGAAGUAUGAUACAGGCUCCUUAUGUUUGUGAUAGAUGCCGAAAUCUCUUUCUCAGUUGCAAUAAUAUUUAUCAAAAUCCAUAAUUUUAGUUGUUGCUGGUGUUUAUUGUCUUUUGCAUCCUAAAAAAACAUAUUGUCCUGUUUCUUUGAUAGUGCACGUGUAAGGUACAGCAAAUGUUUUUGGAGAGGGCUUCUUGAAAUUCCUGUAAUAUUUUUUUGAUAUACCCCAAGUCUAAUGAGCUUCUAGAGAUAUAAGGAGAUGGGUACCAUGUAAUGCUUGGGGAGUAUUGUCUUAUGGCAGAACAUCAAAAAUCCUUGCAUCUUUACUUUAAACCUCAUUGAUGUUAUUGAAAUGAAAAAAAGCUUAGCACAACUCUUCUCUU
Molecule: long non-coding RNA, 2673 nt
Organism: Papaver somniferum (opium poppy)
Lineage: Eukaryota; Viridiplantae; Streptophyta; Magnoliopsida; Ranunculales; Papaveraceae
Exons: 4
Source: RefSeq, a predicted model, not a curated record